GUAAACAUUUUCGUCUUGUAAAAAUCAAUGUAUGCUCAAGUGUAUCGCUUACGAUCGAAUAACAACUUGCAAAAUCCGAACCACGGUAUUACGUACAUUAUAAUAUGUACACAAACAUGAAACAAUAAUUUGUUCGCCUGGUGUGAGACUUCGACGUUAAGAAACGUGUGUGCGAAUAAACAAAUACCCAAACACACUAUACAAACAAUAACGACACGAUUUUUCAAAUUUGAGGAAAACAACUUGCGUACAAAAUCGAAACCCUACACCUGUGGCGAUCAAUUUUUUCGACUAUAAAAUGAGAAAACCCAUACAGCUUUUUAAUCUAACCUAGUUGACUCGUCUCGUUUGGUCGUUUCAUUCGGAACAUAUAGUAACAAGAGUUUUUCUAAGUCCAUAGGCCAUAAUACGUAGGCUACUGUACAAAUUUUUUUCAAGACAGGAUUCAUUUUUUAAAUAUUCAAUAAUGCAUAUUCGCGUUUUCAUAACAUGUUCACUCGUUUUUUCGGUGAUAUCGCUCGUGUAUGGCAAAUCAACGAUAAGAAUUAAUUCGAGUUAUUUUGUUUCAAUUAAGGGAAGCGCGAUUUGUGACUGGAGCGACGCAGACAAGGUAGCAGCCUGUAAUUUGAUACCAAAUCUUUACAAUCCUGAAGCCGAGUGCCAAAACACGAAAAUUCAAUUCGUCGAUACGACUGUUUCACAUGAUAUUUUAAUAUGCACCGAUGAUGGUGGAAGUAUCUGGGGUUGUGCUUACAACAUGUAUAAUAAUGCUGUAAUUACUGAUUACGCUGCUUUUACACAGAGCUGUGAGUAAUGGAAACCCGGCAUGUGACGUUUUUUCACUUUUCUCUUUUUAAAACAUCACAUUUCAAAAUUUUACAUUUUUUUGCAUAUCUAUUUUUGGGAAAAUUUUCUCGUUUCUCGUUGAUGAAAAUCUUUCCUUCGGAUUUGUCGAUCUAGACUACCUACCUAUUAAAAUGAGUCUUUUUUUCCUUUCAUUUGUUUUUGGUGACCAUUUUUUUGCAAUAUACAUAUAUACAAAGAAUUUUUUUACAAACACUUUACAAAGGUUUUGGUAUUUUUCUCCGAUUUCAACGCUUUCUUUCGUGUUUCAAUCGCAUUAUUUUAUCGUGUUUUCAACACUUUUCUGCACAAUUUUCUACAUAAGUACAUAUUUUACUGAAAUUAUUAUUUUAAAAAAAAUUUGGUAGGUUACCGUCCUAUUAUUUUCCGCAGCAAUUUUGAUACUUUUUUCAGUGUUUUACAAGUGACGUAUCAUUUUAACAGGUUUCCAAUGAAAUGCUCAACGUAGGUACAAUUUCUAAUACGUUUUGUGAAAUUUUACGAACUGAAAUUUUUAUUAACUUGGUUCUGGUAAUUUUCAUUGAUUCUAAUGUGUGUUUUUUUUGUGUUCUUGCAUAAUUUGGUGUUCUUUUUAACACAUUUUUUUUGUCGAAUAAUCACUUUUUUAAGUAAUUUUCAACAUAUUUUGCGAUUUGCGACCACUUGUUUACUUUACUAAUUGUAUAAUUAUACUAUUAUCUAUCUGAGAA
This is a long non-coding RNA of Planococcus citri (citrus mealybug), 1553 nucleotides long. RefSeq lists it as uncharacterized. The transcript is spliced from 2 exons. Lineage: Eukaryota; Metazoa; Arthropoda; Insecta; Hemiptera; Pseudococcidae. The record is from RefSeq and is a predicted model, not a curated record.